UACAGGGGGGGCAAGCGUUGUUCGGAAUUACUGGGCGUAAAGGGCGCGUAGGCGGCCUGUUAAGUCGAACGUGAAAUCCCCGGGCUCAACCCGGGAACUGCGUCCGAUACUGGCAGGCUUGAAUCCGGGAGAGGGAUGCGGAAUUCCCAGUGUAGUGGUGAAAUACGUAGAGAUUGGGAAGAACACCAGUGGCGAAGGCGGCUAUCUGGACGGUUUCUGACGCUAAGGUGCGAAAGCGUGGGAGCAACAGG
Molecule: ribosomal RNA, 251 nt
Filed under: uncultured bacterium
Lineage: Bacteria
Description: partial 16S ribosomal RNA
Rfam family: Bacterial small subunit ribosomal RNA
Source: RNAcentral